Molecule: ribosomal RNA, 487 nt
Filed under: uncultured bacterium
Lineage: Bacteria
Description: bacterial SSU rRNA
Rfam family: Bacterial small subunit ribosomal RNA
Source: RNAcentral
UGAGAGGAUGAUCCGCCACACUGGGACUGAGACACGGCCCAGACUCCUACGGGAGGCAGCAGUGGGGAAUUUUGGACAAUGGGCGCAAGCCUGAUCCAGCCAUGCCGCGUGAGUGAAGAAGGCCUUCGGGUUGUAAAGCUCUUUUCGGCCGGGAAGAAAUCGUGGUCUCUAACAUAGGCCAUGGAUGACGGUACCGGACUAAGAAGCACCGGCUAACUACGUGCCAGCAGCCGCGGUAAUACGUAGGGUGCGAGCGUUAAUCGGAAUUACUGGGCGUAAAGCGUGCGCAGGCGGUUUUGUAAGACAGAUGUGAAAUCCCCGGGCUUAACCUGGGAACUGCGUUUGUGACUGCAAGGCUAGAGUACGGCAGAGGGGGGUGGAAUUCCUGGUGUAGCAGUGAAAUGCGUAGAGAUCAGGAGGAACACCGAUGGCGAAGGCAGCCCCCUGGGCCUGUACUGACGCUCAUGCACGAAAGCGUGGGGGAGCU